Molecule: transfer RNA, 73 nt
Filed under: Trichonephila inaurata madagascariensis
Lineage: Eukaryota; Metazoa; Arthropoda; Arachnida; Araneae; Nephilidae
Rfam family: tRNA
About the family: Transfer RNA (tRNA) molecules are approximately 80 nucleotides in length. Their secondary structure includes four short double-helical elements and three loops (D, anti-codon, and T loops). Further hydrogen bonds mediate the characteristic L-shaped molecular structure. tRNAs have two regions of fundamental functional importance: the anti-codon, which is responsible for specific mRNA codon recognition, and the 3' end, to which the tRNAs corresponding amino acid is attached (by aminoacyl-tRNA synthetases). tRNAs cope with the degeneracy of the genetic code in two manners: having more than one tRNA (with a specific anti-codon) for a particular amino acid; and 'wobble' base-pairing, i.e. permitting non-standard base-pairing at the 3rd anti-codon position.
Source: Rfam by way of RNAcentral
AUCCCCGUAGAGCAAGGGAUAGCGCGUUGGACUUCUAAUCUAAAAGUCGUGGGUUCGAAUUCCACCAGGGAUG